Molecule: ribosomal RNA, 458 nt
Filed under: uncultured bacterium
Lineage: Bacteria
Description: SSU rRNA
Rfam family: Bacterial small subunit ribosomal RNA
Source: RNAcentral
AGGAUGAACGCUGGCGGCGUGCCUAAUACAUGCAAGUCGAGCGGUAAGGCCACUUCGGUGGUACACGAGCGGCGGACGGCUGAGUAACGCGUAGGAACGUACCCCAAACUGAGGCAUAAGCACCAGAAAUGGUGUCUAAUACCGCAUGUGCUCUUCGGAGUAAAGCUUCGGCGGUUUGGGAACGGCCUGCGUCCGAUUAGCUUGUUGGUGAGGUAAUGGCUCACCAAGGCGACGAUCGGUAGCUGGCCUGAGAGGAUGAUCAGCCAGACUGGGACUGAGAACGGCCCAGACUCCUACGGGAGGCAGCAGUAGGGAAUUUUCCACAAUGGGCGAAAGCCUGAUGGAGCAACGCCGCGUGCAGGAUGAAGGCCUUCGGGUUGUAACUGCUUUUAUCUGUGAAGAUUAUGACGGUAGCAGAUGAAUAAGGAUCGGCUAACUCCGCGCCAGCAGCCGCGGUA